GACGAACGCUGGCGGCGUGCUUAACACAUGCAAGUCGAACGGAAAGGCCCUGCUUGCAGGGUACUCGAGUGGCGAACGGGUGAGUAACACGUGGGUGAUCUGCCCUGCACCUCGGGAUAAGCCUGGGAAACUGGGUCUAAUACCGGAUAGGAGCCAUUUUUAGUGUGAUGGUUGGAAAGUUUUUUCGGUGUAGGAUGAGCUCGCGGCCUAUCAGCUUGUUGGUGGGGUAAUGGCCUACCAAGGCGGCGACGGGUAGCCGGCCUGAGAGGGUGGACGGCCACAUUGGGACUGGGAUACGGCCCAGACUCCUACGGGAGGCAGCAGUGGGGAAUAUUGCACAAUGGGCGCAAGCCUGAUGCAGCGACGCCGCGUGGGGGAUGACGGCCUUCGGGUUGUAAACUCCUUUCGCUAGGGACGAAGCUUUUUGUGACGGUACCUAGAUAAGAAGCACCGGCUAACUACGUG
RNAcentral lists this ribosomal RNA (465 nucleotides) under uncultured bacterium. Its description in RNAcentral is "partial 16S ribosomal RNA". It matches the Rfam family "Bacterial small subunit ribosomal RNA", at positions 28 to 507 of the family's 1533-position model. The record is from RNAcentral.